This 735-nucleotide ribosomal RNA is filed under the name uncultured Atopobium sp. RNAcentral's name for it is "bacterial SSU rRNA". It matches the Rfam family "Bacterial small subunit ribosomal RNA", at positions 28 to 776 of the family's 1533-position model. The record is from RNAcentral. Lineage: Bacteria; Bacillati; Actinomycetota; Coriobacteriia; Coriobacteriales; Atopobiaceae.
GAUGAACGCGGCGGCGCGCCUAACACAUGCAAGUCGAACGAUUAAAGCACCUUCGGGUGUGUAUAAAGUGGCGAAAGGGCUGAGUAACACGUGGGCAACCUGCCCCUCUCAUUGGGAUAGCCACGGGAAACCGUGGAUAAUACCGAAUACUUCGGGACUUCCGCAUGGAAGACUCGAGAAAGCUCCGGCGGAGAGGGAUGGGCCCGCGGCCUGUUAGCUUGUUGGUGGGGUAACGGCCUACCAAGGCAAUGAUGGGUAGCUGGGUUGAGAGACCGACCAGCCAGAUUGGGACUGAGACACGGCCCAGACUCCUACGGGAGGCAGCAGUGGGGAAUCUUGCACAAUGGGCGAAAGCCUGAUGCAGCGACGCCGCGUGCGGGAUGAAGGCCUUCGGGUUGUAAACCGCUUUCAGCAGGGACGAGGCGAAAGUGACGGUACCUGCAGAAGAAGCCCCGGCUAACUACGUGCCAGCAGCCGCGGUAAUACGUAGGGGGCAAGCGUUAUCCGGAUUCAUUGGGCGUAAAGCGCUCGUAGGCGGUCUGUUAGGUCGGGAGUUAAAUCCGGGGGCUCAACCCCCGUUCGCUCCCGAUACCGGCAGACUUGAGUUUGGUAGGGGAAGGUGGAAUUCCUAGUGUAGCGGUGGAAUGCGCAGAUACUAGGAGGAACACCAGUGGCGAAGGCGGCCUUCUGGGCCAUAACUGACGCUGAGGAGCGAAAGCUAGGGGAGCAAACAGG